GGUGACGAGGCCGAUCGGCGAGGCGCGGCUUUCAUAAGGCCGCAGUAGAAGGUUCGACCCCUUCCGUCACCACCA
Molecule: transfer RNA, 75 nt
Filed under: Rhodanobacteraceae bacterium
Lineage: Bacteria; Pseudomonadati; Pseudomonadota; Gammaproteobacteria; Lysobacterales; Rhodanobacteraceae
Description: tRNA-Met
Rfam family: tRNA
About the family: Transfer RNA (tRNA) molecules are approximately 80 nucleotides in length. Their secondary structure includes four short double-helical elements and three loops (D, anti-codon, and T loops).
Source: RNAcentral